Long non-coding RNA from Corvus hawaiiensis (hawaiian crow), 1121 nucleotides. RefSeq lists it as uncharacterized. The record is from RefSeq and is a predicted model, not a curated record. NCBI's taxonomy places the organism in Eukaryota, Metazoa, Chordata, Aves, Passeriformes, Corvidae. The transcript is spliced from 3 exons.
UCUGUCAGGUUCUCAUCAUCAGGAGAAAAACGUCCAACGCCAGCAAGGAGUGACAGGUGAAGAAUGCAAAACAACUGCAGACAAUAGAUCAAAAGCCCUGAGCAGGAGGAAGCAUCCCAACCCAUCCUUUCUGGGGGAGAACAGAGACAGGAGAGCGGGAAACAAGAAGACAAUGCGCCAUCAAAGCUGCCGCAAGGUGUUGGAUCAAUGACAACAUCUGCAUGAGGGUCUGGGCUACAAUAGAAGCUGUUACCAUGGAAACGGGUGCAAAAGCAUCAGGCGGGAAGAAGCAGGCAAUGAUGAAAGGGGGAGAAGACGAAGGUUACCCAACACAGCACAGCUCAGGCUGCUGAAGGUCCCAUAGGGCACAUUUACGAAGAAGGGUAGAAAAGGUGAGUGAAUUUAGCUGAGCCUGAAAUAACAACACCUGAAAACAUUUUCUUUCCUGGUCUAAAUGCAGUCUUCUUGCUCCAACAUCCCUGUCUAUUGUACCUAAUCCUCAUGAUGAUUAGCCAGACCAUGCCUGAAACAGUAGCCUUUUUUUGUUAUAUCACUGGCUAACUUGAAUUAUUCUGCACAUCAGCUUAUCUCUCCUUAACCUCACCCCCAUUUCCUAGUUAAGCUAAUGCCCAGCACAAUGCUGAAUUGCUUCUGCUUUCUUCCUGGCACCUCUUUUUUGGCACUUCUCAUUUUAUUUUUAAGGAAGGAGGUUACGGUUCUACAUCUUACAGUAUUAGUGUUGGAUAUAGAUGAAACAAUAUUUCAUGUGACUUAUCAUUUAAUUUGUCUUAUAUGUUAGCUUUGGCACUGCCAGCAUUGUAGUCAUGCCAGUAGAGAAACUUUGAUCUGAAUGAGUGUAAAAUUCAGCCAGGCUUGAUGUAGGGUUGCAGAAAAUAAUUUCAAAUAUGAAAAAUCUGGCCCAUGCCUUUGGGGAUACAAGUGCUGUUGAUGCUCUAAAUAUCACAUUUUAUGGGAGGUAUGACCUCUCUGCUAAAAUCAAGGACCAUUUUAGGACAACAUAAGGAGUCACUCUGGGCACGUGUGGAAUUCACCAGACACAUUUUGGGCACUGUCCCAAUCUGAAUCACUGCAGUCGUGGACAUGUAUGGCUCAAGAGACCA